RNAcentral lists this ribosomal RNA (896 nucleotides) under uncultured bacterium. Its description in RNAcentral is "bacterial SSU rRNA". It matches the Rfam family "Bacterial small subunit ribosomal RNA", at positions 8 to 917 of the family's 1533-position model. The record is from RNAcentral.
AGAGUUUGAUCCUGGCUCAGAAUGAACGUUGGCGGCGUGGAUUAGGCAUGCAAGUCGAGCGAGAACCCAGCAAUGGGGGACAGCGGCGAAAGGGACAGUAAUGUGUAGAUCAUCUGCCCUCAGGCCCGGGAUAGCUGCGGGAAACUGCAGGUAAUACCGGAUAAUAUCUCCGGAUCAAAGGUGUGAUUCCGCCUGGGGAUGAGUCUACAUCCUAUUAGCUAGUUGGUGGGGUAAUGGCCUACCAAGGCGAUGAUGGGUAGCGGGUGUGAGAGCACGACCCGCGUCAUUGGGACUGAGACACUGCCCAGACACCUACGGGUGGCUGCAGUCGAGAAUCUUCGGCAAUGGGCGCAAGCCUGACCGAGCGACGCCGCGUGCGGGAUGAAGGCCUUCGGGUUGUAAACCGCUGUCAGAGGGGAUGAAAUGCAGGUGGGUUCUCCCAUCUGUUUGACAUAGCCUCAGAGGAAGGACGGGCUAAGUUCGUGCCAGCAGCCGCGGUAAGACGAACCGUCCAAACGUUAUUCGGAAUUACUGGGCUUAAAGGGUGCGUAGGCGGCGCGGAAAGUUGGGUGUGAAAUCCCUCGGCUCAACCGAGGAACUGCGCUCAAUACUACCGUGCUCGAGGGAGAUAGAGGUGAGCGGAACUUAGGGUGGAGCGGUGAAAUGCGUUGAUAUCCUAAGGAACACCGGUGGCGAAAGCGGCUCACUGGAUCUCUUCUGACGCUGAGGCACGAAAGCUAGGGUAGCAAACGGGAUUAGAUACCCCGGUAGUCCUAGCCGUAAACGAUGAGCACUGGAUUGAAGGGUCCUCCAUAGCCUUUCAGUCGCAACGAAAGCGUUAAGUGCUCCGCCUGGGGAGUAUGGUCGCAAGGCUGAAACUCAAAUGAAUUGACGGV